RNAcentral lists this ribosomal RNA (790 nucleotides) under unidentified microorganism. RNAcentral's name for it is "bacterial SSU rRNA". It matches the Rfam family "Bacterial small subunit ribosomal RNA", at positions 51 to 835 of the family's 1533-position model. The record is from RNAcentral.
ACACAUGCAAGUCGAGCGGGGUGAGGUGCUUCGGUACUGAUCCUAGCGGCGGACGGGUGAGUAAUGCUUAGGAAUCUGCCAUUUAGUGGGGGACAACAUUCCGAAAGGAAUGCUAAUACCGCAUACGUCCUACGGGAGAAAGCAGGGGAUCUUCGGACCUUGCGCUAAAUGAUGAGCCUAAGUCGGAUUAGCUAGUUGGUGGGGUAAAGGCCUACCAAGGCGACGAUCUGUAGCGGGUCUGAGAGGAUGAUCCGCCACACUGGGACUGAGACACGGCCCAGACUCCUACGGGAGGCAGCAGUGGGGAAUAUUGGACAAUGGGCGGAAGCCUGAUCCAGCCAUGCCGCGUGUGUGAAGAAGGCCUUUUGGUUGUAAAGCACUUUAAGCGAGGAGGAGGCUACCUAGAUUAAUACUCUGGGAUAGUGGACGUUACUCGCAGAAUAAGCACCGGCUAACUCUGUGCCAGCAGCCGCGGUAAUACAGAGGGUGCGAGCGUUAAUCGGAUUUACUGGGCGUAAAGCGUGCGUAGGCGGCUGAUUAAGUCGGAUGUGAAAUCCCUGAGCUUAACUUAGGAAUUGCAUUCGAUACUGGUCAGCUAGAGUAUGGGAGAGGAUGGUAGAAUUCCAGGUGUAGCGGUGAAAUGCGUAGAGAUCUGGAGGAAUACCGAUGGCGAAGGCAGCCAUCUGGCCUAAUACUGACGCUGAGGUACGAAAGCAUGGGGAGCAAACAGGAUUAGAUACCCUGGUAGUCCAUGCCGUAAACGAUGUCUACUAGCCGUUGGGGCCUUUGA